GAUGAACGCUGGCGGCGUGCCUAAUACAUGCAAGUAGAACGCUGAAGCUUGGUGCUUGCACCGAGCGGAUGAGUUGCGAACGGGUGAGUAACGCGUAGGUAACCUGCCUGGUAGCGGGGGAUAACUAUUGGAAACGAUAGCUAAUACCGCAUAACAAUAGAUGUUGCAUGACAACUAUUUAAAAGGGGCAAUUGCUCCACUACCAGAUGGACCUGCGUUGUAUUAGCUAGUUGGUGAGGUAACGGCUCACCAAGGCGACGAUACAUAGCCGACCUGAGAGGGUGAUCGGCCACACUGGGACUGAGACACGGCCCAGACUCCUACGGGAGGCAGCAGUAGGGAAUCUUCGGCAAUGGGGGGAACCCUGACCGAGCAACGCCGCGUGAGUGAAGAAGGUUUUCGGAUCGUAAAGCUCUGUUGUAAGAGAAGAACGAGUGUGAGAGUGGAAAGUUCACACUGUGACGGUAUCUACCAG
This 475-nucleotide ribosomal RNA is filed under the name Streptococcus sp. oral taxon 066. RNAcentral's name for it is "bacterial SSU rRNA". It matches the Rfam family "Bacterial small subunit ribosomal RNA", at positions 28 to 486 of the family's 1533-position model. Lineage: Bacteria; Bacillati; Bacillota; Bacilli; Lactobacillales; Streptococcaceae. The record is from RNAcentral.